AUGCUGAGAACCAGACUGGGCUCCUUUCCUCAUGAGGGCUUAUUGUGCAAGGACUGCAGCAGCAGCCCCCUCAGUGAUAUAAGCCACCUCUGGUGUGUAUGGGUUCCCUAAGGGACCUGGAAUACAGCC
Molecule: small nucleolar RNA, 129 nt
Filed under: Castor canadensis (American beaver)
Lineage: Eukaryota; Metazoa; Chordata; Mammalia; Rodentia; Castoridae
Description: Small nucleolar RNA SNORA70 (ENSCCNG00000011789.1)
Rfam family: Small nucleolar RNA SNORA70
About the family: snoRNA U70 seems to be exclusive to mammals and is a member of the H/ACA class of snoRNA which contain H (ANANNA) and ACA box motifs. H/ACA box snoRNAs are involved in the conversion of uridines to pseudouridines (5-ribosyluracil) a constituent of structural RNAs (transfer, ribosomal, small nuclear, and small nucleolar).
Source: Rfam by way of RNAcentral